Molecule: ribosomal RNA, 447 nt
Filed under: uncultured bacterium
Lineage: Bacteria
Description: partial 16S ribosomal RNA
Rfam family: Bacterial small subunit ribosomal RNA
Source: RNAcentral
AACGAACGCUGGCGGCAGGCUUAACACAUGCAAGUCGAACGCCCCGCAAGGGGAGUGGCAGACGGGUGAGUAACGCGUGGGAAUCUACCGUGCCCUGCGGAAUAGCUCCGGGAAACUGGAAUUAAUACCGCAUACGCCCUACGGGGGAAAGAUUUAUCGGGGUAUGAUGAGCCCGCGUUGGAUUAGCUAGUUGGUGGGGUAAAGGCCUACCACGGCGACGAUCCAUAGCUGGUCUGAGAGGAUGAUCAGCCACAUUGGGACUGAGACACGGCCCAAACUCCUACGGGAGGCAGCAGUGGGGAAUAUUGGACAAUGGGCGCGAGCCUGAUCCAGCCAUGCCGCGUGAGUGAUGAAGGCCUUAGGGUUGUAAAGCUCUUUCACCGAUGAAGAUAAUGACGGUAGUCGGAGAAGAAGCCCCGGCUAACUUCGUGCCAGCCGCCGCCGUAA